UACGGAGGGGGCUAGCGUUGUUCGGAAUUACUGGGCGUAAAGCGCGCGUAGGCGGACCUGCAAGUCGGGGGUGAAAGCCCGAGGCUCAACCUCGGAACUGCCUUCGAUACUGCGGGUCUCGAGUCCGGGAGAGGUGAGUGGAAUUCCUAGUGUAGAGGUGAAAUUCGUAGAUAUUAGGAAGAACACCAGUGGCGAAGGCGGCUCACUGGACCGGUACUGACGCUGAGGCGCGAAAGCGUGGGGAGCAAACAGG
Molecule: ribosomal RNA, 253 nt
Filed under: uncultured bacterium
Lineage: Bacteria
Description: partial 16S ribosomal RNA
Rfam family: Bacterial small subunit ribosomal RNA
Source: RNAcentral